UACGGAGGGUGCAAGCGUUAUCCGGAUUCACUGGGUUUAAAGGGUGCGUAGGUGGGUUGGUAAGUCAGUGGUGAAAUCUCCGAGCUUAACUUGGAGACUGCCGUUGAUACUAUCAAUCUUGAAUAUCGCGUAGGUAAGCGGAAUAUGUCAUGUAGCGGUGAAAUGCUUAGAUAUGACAUAGAACACCAAUUGCGAAGGCAGCUUACUUCACGAUCAUUGACACUGAGGCACGAAAGCGUGGGGAGCAAACAGG
RNAcentral lists this ribosomal RNA (253 nucleotides) under uncultured bacterium. RNAcentral describes it as "partial 16S ribosomal RNA". It matches the Rfam family "Bacterial small subunit ribosomal RNA", at positions 524 to 776 of the family's 1533-position model. The record is from RNAcentral.